RNAcentral lists this ribosomal RNA (599 nucleotides) under Salmonella enterica. RNAcentral's name for it is "partial 23S ribosomal RNA". It matches the Rfam family "Bacterial large subunit ribosomal RNA", at positions 1222 to 1803 of the family's 2925-position model. Lineage: Bacteria; Pseudomonadati; Pseudomonadota; Gammaproteobacteria; Enterobacterales; Enterobacteriaceae. The record is from RNAcentral.
UGUUGGGUAGGGGAGCGUUCUGUAAGCCUGUGAAGGUGGCCUGUGAGGGUUGCUGGAGGUAUCAGAAGUGCGAAUGCUGACAUAAGUAACGAUAAAGCGGGUGAAAAGCCCGCUCGCCGGAAGACCAAGGGUUCCUGUCCAACGUUAAUCGGGGCAGGGUGAGUCGACCCCUAAGGCGAGGCCGAAAGGCGUAGUCGAUGGGAAACGGGUUAAUAUUCCCGUACUUGGUGUUACUGCGAAGGGGGGACGGAGAAGGCUAUGUUGGCCGGGCGACGGUUGUCCCGGUUUAAGCGUGUAGGUGUGUGUUCCAGGUAAAUCCGGUUCACUUUAACACUGAGGCGUGAUGACGAGGCACUACGGUGCUGAAGCAACAAAUGCCCUGCUUCCAGGAAAAGCCUCUAAGCAUCAGGUAACAUCAAAUCGUACCCCAAACCGACACAGGUGGUCAGGUAGAGAAUACCAAGGCGCUUGAGAGAACUCGGGUGAAGGAACUAGGCAAAAUGGUGCCGUAACUUCGGGAGAAGGCACGCUGACACGUAGGUGAAGUGAUUUACUCACGGAGCUGAAGUCAGUCGAAGAUACCAGCUGGCUGCAACUGU